This 497-nucleotide ribosomal RNA is filed under the name uncultured bacterium. Its description in RNAcentral is "partial 16S ribosomal RNA". It matches the Rfam family "Bacterial small subunit ribosomal RNA", at positions 28 to 507 of the family's 1533-position model. The record is from RNAcentral.
GAUGAACGCUGGCGGCGUGCCUAAUACAUGCCAGUCGAGCGAACAGAUGAGGAGCUUGCUCCUCUGACGUUGGCGGCGGACGGGUGAGUAACACGUGGAUAACCUACCUAUAAGACUGGGAUAACUUCGGGAAACCGGAGCUAAUACCGGAUAAUAUAUUGAACCGCAUGGUUCAAUAGUGAAAGACGGUUUUGCUGUCACUUAUAGAUGGAUCCGCGCCGCAUUAGCUAGUUGGUAAGGUAACGGCUUACCAAGGCGACGAUGCGUAGCCGACCUGAGAGGGUGAUCGGCCACACUGGAACUGAGACACGGUCCAGACUCCUACGGGAGGCAGCAGUAGGGAAUCUUCCGCAAUGGGCGAAAGCCUGACGGAGCAACGCCGCGUGAGUGAUGAAGGUCUUCGGAUCGUAAAACUCUGUUAUUAGGGAAGAACAAAUGUGUAAGUAACUAUGCACGUCUUGACGGUACCUAAUCAGAAAGCCACGGCUAACUACGUG